AUGACAUUUUCCAAAAAAAUGGUAUUACAGAAUUUUUUUAUAUUUUGCUAAUUGUUAGCUUUUCGUCCAAGUAAAAUAAUGCAAGAAAACAAAUUGGGGGUCACCAUGCUUCUUUUCGAACAAAACGAGACGAUUUGGAGUGAAUUUCGUAUACGUAUGUCGUCAUAGCAACGAACUAUCUGUUACUAAAACUAAUAUAAUUUGAAAGUAGAGAUAUCAAAAUAUAUAAAAACCUCAAUAUCUGUUGAAUAAAUCCUAAAAAUGCG
Molecule: non-coding RNA, 266 nt
Organism: Paramuricea clavata
Lineage: Eukaryota; Metazoa; Cnidaria; Anthozoa; Malacalcyonacea; Plexauridae
Source: the annotation of a GenBank genome assembly